This 302-nucleotide ribosomal RNA is filed under the name uncultured bacterium. RNAcentral's name for it is "partial 16S ribosomal RNA". It matches the Rfam family "Bacterial small subunit ribosomal RNA", at positions 508 to 807 of the family's 1533-position model. The record is from RNAcentral.
GCAGCAGCCGCGGGAAAACGGAGGGUGCAAGCGUUAAUCGGAAUUACUGGGCGUAAAGGGCUCGCAGGCGGUUUCUUAAGUCUGAUGUGAAAGCCCCCGGCUCAACCGGGGAGGGUCAUUGGAAACUGGGAAACUUGAGUGCAGAAGAGGAGAGUGGAAUUCCACGUGUAGCGGUGAAAUGCGUAGAGAUGUGGAGGAACACCAGUGGCGAAGGCGACUCUCUGGUCUGUAACUGACGCUGAGGAGCGAAAGCGUGGGGAGCGAACAGGAUUAGAUACCCCUGUAGUCCCUGUCUCUUAUAC